Molecule: unclassified non-coding RNA, 555 nt
Filed under: Hevea brasiliensis (rubber tree)
Lineage: Eukaryota; Viridiplantae; Streptophyta; Magnoliopsida; Malpighiales; Euphorbiaceae
Source: RNAcentral
GAGAGAAAUGGAAAGAAGAGAAAAGAAAUCAAAUUUGAUUUCCAUCAAUUCUCCUGUUUGGACAGUAAUUUGAAGAUGGAAAGGGGGAGAAAUGAGGAGAAAACGUAUUUCUCCACCUACUACAUAUGCUCUAAACGAUUUUCCUGCAAUUUGGAGGGGAAUGGAGGGAAAUUAUUCCUGUUAACAUGGAAAUGGCUUCAAUGGCCUUCAAUCACUUCAAUAGAAAAAUCAUUUCUGCUACUUUGUGCUCCAAAGAGUUUUUCACUAUCAUCGUUCCUGCCCUUCUCUCUACAGCAGAAAGAUGAAAGUCUGGUUGCUGAAGUGGAUGCAGAUCUCUCAAAUAGGGAGGAAGUGGAAGAUUAAUCUCAAUUUCGAGAUAAAGAUGAUGAAGAUGCUAGAUUAAGUGCUACAAUAAGAGAUAAUAUUGCAGCUAUAAUGUGGCAUGAUUAUGUUUCAAAUGAAGGAUGAUUAUAAUUUGUUAUUUUUAAGUUGAAUUUGGUACUAUAUAUUUUGCUUAUGUUAAUUGAAUUGGAUGAACUAUUGAUAAUAUUGAAC